GUGUCUACGGAGUGGAAAGAAGUUGUUGCAUCUGAUAAUUCUUCAAUCGUGUAGCAGCAACUGCAGCUUACAUGGAAUGAGGAUUAUCGGAUUCAUCUACACUCACUGAUCAUCCAAGGUGAAUUGAUGACCUCAAGCAAAUGGAUGUUGUUGUCAUCUGAAGAGAAGGUUGUCCUGGGCCCAUGUUUAGAGGCAUUUGGGGCAUAUCAGACACAUAUCAGAAUCAAGCUGCAUGCACACUUGAGUUUAUUCAGAGAGAAGUUGUGGGCAUCAGUCCGGAAACUGGAUCAAAAAUUUGCUGCUGGAAUGUGAGACAAAUAAAGGCAUGGAAUGAACCCAAAUGUAUGAACACUGCUACGAAAACUAAUGGACUUUAAAUGGCUUGCCAGUUAAUUCCAAUGGAAUUGAAGAAGA
Molecule: non-coding RNA, 414 nt
Organism: Paramisgurnus dabryanus
Lineage: Eukaryota; Metazoa; Chordata; Actinopteri; Cypriniformes; Cobitidae
Source: RefSeq, a predicted model, not a curated record